UCCCUGGUGGUCCAGUGGCUACCACGCUGUACUCCGAAUGCAGGGGACCCAGGUUCAAUCCCUGGUCAGGGAA
This is a non-coding RNA of Dama dama (fallow deer), 73 nucleotides long. Lineage: Eukaryota; Metazoa; Chordata; Mammalia; Artiodactyla; Cervidae. The record is from the annotation of a RefSeq genome assembly.